GGAGAGGUGGCCGAGCGGCUUAAGGCGGCGCCCUGCUAAGGCGUUGGUCCCUCACGGGGCUCGCGGGUUCGAAUCCCGCCCUCUCCGCCA
Molecule: transfer RNA, 90 nt
Filed under: Alphaproteobacteria bacterium
Lineage: Bacteria; Pseudomonadati; Pseudomonadota; Alphaproteobacteria
Description: tRNA-Ser
Rfam family: tRNA
About the family: Transfer RNA (tRNA) molecules are approximately 80 nucleotides in length. Their secondary structure includes four short double-helical elements and three loops (D, anti-codon, and T loops).
Source: RNAcentral